Molecule: ribosomal RNA, 325 nt
Filed under: uncultured fungus
Lineage: Eukaryota; Fungi
Description: eukaryotic LSU rRNA
Rfam family: 5.8S ribosomal RNA (bases 1-71)
Source: RNAcentral
GUGAGUCAUCGAGUCUUUGAACGCACCUUGCGCUCCCUGGUAUUCCGGGGAGCAUGUCUGUUUGAGUGUCAUGAACUCUUCAACCCACCGGUUUCUUGUAAACUGGCUGGUGUUUGGUUUCUGAGCGUUGCUCGUCCUCUGUGACUGAGCUCGUUCGUAAUAUAUGAGCAUCUCUAAUUCGACUUCGGAUUGACUCAGUGUAAUAGACUAUUCGCUGAGGACACACCUAGUGUGGCCGAAUGAGAUAAUUGUAGAAGCUUCCAACCCUUCUAGUCAUUUUAAGAUUAGAUCCUCAGAUCCAGAUAGGACUACCCGCUGAACUUAA